RNAcentral lists this ribosomal RNA (492 nucleotides) under uncultured bacterium. RNAcentral describes it as "partial 16S ribosomal RNA". It matches the Rfam family "Bacterial small subunit ribosomal RNA", at positions 29 to 507 of the family's 1533-position model. The record is from RNAcentral.
AGUGAACGCUGGCGGUAGGCCUAACACAUGCAAGUCGAACGGCAGCACAGUAAGAGCUUGCUCUUACGGGUGGCGAGUGGCGGACGGGUGGGGAAUACAUCGGAAUCUACUUUUUCGUGAGGGAUAACGUAGGGAAACUUACGCUAAUACCGCAUACGACCUACGGGUGAAAGCAGGGGAUCUUCGGACCUUGCGCGAUUGAAUGAGCCGAUGUCGGAUUAGCUAGUUGGCGGGGUAAAGGCCCACCAAGGCGACGAUCCGUAGCUGGUCUGAGAGGAUGAUCAGCCACACUGGAACUGAGACACGGUCCAGACUCCUACGGGAGGCAGCAGUGGGGAAUAUUGGACAAUGGGCGCAAGCCUGAUCCAGCCAUACCGCGUGGGUGAAGAAGGCCUUCGGGUUGUAAAGCCCUUUUGUUGGGAAAGAAAAGCAGCAGGUUAAUACCCCGCUGUUCUGACGGUACCCAAAGAAUAAGCACCGGCUAACUUCGUG